AAACAAGUCAGAAAAGUUUUUCCAAAAUCAAAACACUAGCCACACUGCUCACCUUUCCUUAACUACACGCUCCUUACCUUUCUCUCUUCCCCCAAAGACCCAACUUUCAGUGGUUACUCCAUAUUUUCAAAACAAAAAAUAAAUAGCUCAUGCCUUCAUCUUCUUCUUCUUUUAACUUCACAGAAAAUCUGCCUAUCAUUAUCGCCUAAAUUUCUGCUCAAACAAUUGGUCAAAGACCAGAAAAAAAGAUAAAAUUUGUGAAAUAUUUCGCACCUUCUGUCUGAUUUGCCUCAUAAAUGACUUUGAUUUCAUUUCAAAUCCAGAUUUUCAAGUUCAGAUUUUUUUUCACCUCCAAAGGGGAUCGGAGAACACACACUGGGAAGCAAUUCGAGAACUGAUUAAAAGCAGAGAAAUACACUUCAUAUAUUUCCUUUCCUUUAAACAUCUGAUUUCGAAAUUCUUAAUCUUAGAGUUUUCUAUUUUCGCUCCUUGAGUUCGAGUUCGAAAGAAAGUUCGAAGUUUGAAAACAUUGACCACAAAAUCCCCCUAGUUUGCUGCUCUGGAAAAGAGCACUGGAGUUUCUACUUUGGAACUCGGUUUUGGUCCAAAAUAUUGGACCAACAGCUAUUAGGAUCUUCACAACGCUCGGAGUCUCGUAAAUUAAGAGUCUAACGUUUAUUAGCCUUUGUUUUUACUACUUUGAUUAUAUUGUUUUGAUAUACUAACUCAUUCUUACAUAUGUUUGUAUACCUCUCAACUUUUUAUAUAUUAAUCUCUUUCCCCUUUUAUUUAAGUUCAUUUGUGUGAUACAAUAUUAUUUGUUAAUAAAUUUAAUAGUACGCUUGAGAAAGCCGCAUUUUAUCC
This is a long non-coding RNA of Solanum dulcamara, 864 nucleotides long. RefSeq lists it as uncharacterized. NCBI's taxonomy places the organism in Eukaryota, Viridiplantae, Streptophyta, Magnoliopsida, Solanales, Solanaceae. The record is from RefSeq and is a predicted model, not a curated record. The transcript has 2 exons.